This 253-nucleotide ribosomal RNA is filed under the name uncultured bacterium. Its description in RNAcentral is "partial 16S ribosomal RNA". It matches the Rfam family "Bacterial small subunit ribosomal RNA", at positions 524 to 776 of the family's 1533-position model. The record is from RNAcentral.
UACGUAGGGGGCGAGCGUUGUCCGGAGUUACUGGGCGUAAAGCGCACGCAGGCGGUCUGCUAAGUUUGGAGUGACAGUUGGUGGCUUAACUGCCAAAGUGCUUCGAAAACUGACAGACUUGAGGGCUGCAGAGGGACACGGAAUUCCGGGUGGAGUGGUGAAAUGCGUAGAGAUCCGGAGGAACACCAAAGGCGAAGGCAGUGUCCUGGGGAGUACCUGACGCUCAGGUGCGAAAGCCAGGGGAGCGAACGGG